Long non-coding RNA from Canis lupus familiaris (dog), 1430 nucleotides. RefSeq lists it as uncharacterized. The record is from RefSeq and is a predicted model, not a curated record. The transcript has 2 exons. NCBI's taxonomy places the organism in Eukaryota, Metazoa, Chordata, Mammalia, Carnivora, Canidae.
AGGUUCCGCGCUGCGCGGCCGCCCACGGAGUCCUGCGUCAGCAAAGCGCGGCCGCGGCGGCGAGGGGUGCGGCCUGGGCUCUCCGCGCGGCUCUUGGCUCCGGUGUCCGGUGCCGCUCCCUGGCCGAGCCUGCAGGUUCCUUACGUUUUGAUCACACCGUGCCCAAGUACUCCAUCGGUAAAAGCCGAAGGAAUUAUUUUCAUUUCUUGGGAGAACAGCUCAGGAAUACAUCCAGAGUUUGAAAUCUGAUUAUGGGAAAUUUUCCUGAAUCAAUCAAAAGGAAAAAAAGACUGUACAGAUGGCAGAUUUUAUUUUUUAGAAGAGGAAUCUCUAUCAAUAAGUUCGUUUUUAAAAAUUUAUUCUGUUCCUGUAGUACUAUGCAGCCACUGAAAAAUAUUCGAAAGAUAUUCUGGGAUACAAAAAAGACUCCAGGGAGAUUAUUUUUAAAGAAUUGAAGCCCGUGACAACUAUACUACAAUUAAAAAAAACAAAAAACAAAAAAAACAGUUUAAGUCGGUUGAGCUGCCAGUUCUUGAUGUUGGCUGAGGUCAGGAUCGGAGUCCUCGGAGUGAGACGGAGCCCCCUCGGCACGGAGCUUACGUCACAGAGAGAGAGAGGCAGAGACACAGGCAGAGGGAGAAGCAGGCUCCAUGCACCGGGAGCCCGACGUGGGACUCGAUCCCGGGUCUCCAGGAUCGCGCCCUGGGCCAAAGGCAGGCGCUAAACCACUGCGCCACCCAGGGCUCCCUUGAGAACUAAUCUACAUGAUGAAAAUCCUUGGCGAAGAAACGAGUUCUCAGAAGUCCAAAGAUGAAGGUACCAACUGCAGUGGCAGUAAACCACUGUGAGGAGCCCUUGCCCCAAGAAGCACUUGCCCAAGACUGUCUGUGGUGUCCUCCACUGUGCAGCCUCCCAGUUCUCUGCACAAGUCUUUGCAGCAUUUUUAUAUACAUGCCCAUUCUUUAAAAUCUCAGAGCCUUCCUUUUGCAAACUUGAUUUCUGGGGCUCAUAUUUAAAAAGAUAAAAACUAGGGGCACCUGGAUGGUCAGUUAAGCAUCUGUGUUCAGCUCAGAUCAUGAUCUCAGGGUCCUGGGGGUCAAGCCCAGGUCAGGUUCCCUGCUCAGUGGGGAGUCUGCUUCUCCUUCCCUCUCUGCCCUUCCCCCUGCUUUUCUGUGUCUCAAAUAUAUAAAAUCUAAAAAAAUAAAUAAAUAAAAGUAAAAAAGAUAAAAUCUUGGGGCUCCUAAAUUGAGCCUCUAAUUCUUGGUUUCAGCUUGUGAUCUCGGGGUUGCAGAUCGAGCCUGGAGUUAGACUCUGUGCUCAGGCACUGUCUGCUAGAGGGUUUUCUCUCUCUGCCCCUCCCCUAACUUGUGUGUGCCUUUGUGCGCGAGGCUCUAAUAAAUAAAUCUUUAAAAAAUAAAAAUAUAAACAUC